CCAACGGACGCGUCUUACCUGCCGGCUGCUCGCUCACACAAUGAAUGCUGCUCUCGGUUGGGUAGCUGUGGAACAGGCUGUGGAACAGGGUUGAGUGUGGGCUGAGUCGAUAUAAAGAACACACAGCAUAGAGUGGCGCACGACAGAUCGACUCGCGCCACACAUCCACCUUCUCCCCUGAGAAAAUGAAUGAUUUUCCUGUAGAAUCUAUUCUGCAUACAUUACCAUCUAUUACCACGUGUUUAAAGACAUGCUUAUUAAUGCAUCGAGUAGCCAACUCGAUGAAAAAAAGUAGUUUGCCAUGAUUUCUUGCCAACCAAAAAAAGUAGUGUGCCUUGAUUUUCAUUUUGACAACUUUGCAGACACUUGAUAUCAUUUCAAGACUGUAUUCCAAGGCAAGAGGACCCGAUAAUCAAGAUCAAGAUGGUCAAUCAACCUAAGAAAAAUACGUGAAAAAAAACCGAACAUUGCCCAGUAACAAACAUAUUUAUUGACUUUGGAUUCUGCUCGAGCUCCCGGAUGUAAUCGGAGAGAUAGGAGGGGGUCCUUUUCUCACGCGCUGGACGCUGUUCUCGACCGCCAUCGGGAGGAAGCUCUGGAUUAUGAUCCUGCUCGCCUGUUGAUUGCUGCUGUCGCCAUUCCUGGACCUUUUUCGUCUGUGAUACGUGACGCUUAAGCUUUUGGCCUUCGGAAUCGCAGAGGACUAGACUGCCGUUACGUUCGUCAGAAACCACAUACCGCUUCGAGCCAAACCUACUUUCGCCUUUCGAUCUCGUUUGACGUUCGACGAUUACAGUAUCGCCUGGCUUAACUUUGCAUGCUCUGGCUCCCCGUCGAGCAUCUUCUCGC
Molecule: long non-coding RNA, 849 nt
Organism: Aedes albopictus (Asian tiger mosquito)
Lineage: Eukaryota; Metazoa; Arthropoda; Insecta; Diptera; Culicidae
Exons: 2
Source: RefSeq, a predicted model, not a curated record